Equus asinus (donkey) is the source of this 1609-nucleotide long non-coding RNA. The record is from Ensembl. Lineage: Eukaryota; Metazoa; Chordata; Mammalia; Perissodactyla; Equidae.
CAAGAGAUAACUGAGUCAGGGAGAGUGGCACGGACUGGAGAGGCUGGAGUCUGAUCAGCCGGGAGAGCCCCCGACACGGCUGUCCACGGUCCCUGGGCCCGGAUCCCUGCCCCUGCAGUUCUAAGUCACAGGUCCUGUCAUUUAGUGCAGCCCGACCCCGUGCACCCGCCGCCCUCUGCAUUAGGCUCCUGAUCCCCUCCUGGCAGGUCACUCUUUGGUUCCUAUUCAGCUUUCAUGAGUCCCCCUAACCGUGCUGGUGACAAGUACAGAUUAAUUUCUCGGCCUGACUUGGAUGGUUUUCGUCUUCGAUUCCUCCGUAUCCCCAGGGCAGCUCCAGGCAUGUUGGUGUCUUAAUUCAUCAUCUGUGAUUUUACAAAGGGAUCGCCCAGCAUGGGGACACUUCCACGUCACACAUCUCACGGCACAGGCCACCUGAGAGAUCUCCCUGCAGUGUCCACACUGACCUAGGAUGUCUCCCUAGUUCCCCUGCUGUGUCUACACUGAUCCCAGUUGUCUCCUUUCUUCCCCUAUUUUUACUGACCUGGGAUGGCUCGCUGCUUCCCCACAUGUGUGCACACAGACCUGGUGGUCUCCCCAGUUACCCUGUUGUGUCUACACUGAGCCUGUGGUGUCUCCCUAGCCACCCCUGGCCCUACACUGGCCACAUGAGCACAGUCAUGUCUUGCUAGAGAAACAGCCUGCAGCAGGUGCUCAGCGCCCUCCCUGCCCGUGAGCCCACUGUGCUCAGGCGGGAGCACCUGCUCCAGGUCUUGAGGCAUCAAUCCAGGACCCUUUCCUGCCUGCGAAUCUAUUUCAGACAAAACCUCUUACACCAGCAGCGUAAUGAGCCACCCCUGCUCCAGGAUCAAGCCCUCCAGGAACCUCAGUGCCCACGUCCAGGUGAACCCUGGAGACCGGCCCACAUUGAAGAGGAGCGAGUGGGGCCAAUGGUCACAGAGAAAGGCCUGCCGAGUCUCAGACACCCCGCCCUGCAUCUCAGGCUGCAGCCAGGAGAGGUUCAGGCACCUCCCACAGUCGAGGCCUCUGAGGCCCCCAGGUUGUUGAGAUACAGGCAGCACAGGCCAUUGGAUAAGCCACAGAUCUCCAUGUCUGAGUUCGGUUACUGGAAGACUAUUGUGAUCUUUUCGUGAUGUCCUGUUUCCUUGAUUCUUCAUCUUCCGUGGAGUUUUGUGUUGCUGUUUCACAUUUGAUGUAUCAGUCACAUUCUCCAGGCUUUACCAGCCGCCUUCAGGUGUGUCUUCUCUGACCAGUUGUGUCCCAAAUUCCCCAGGAGUAUCUAUUCUGACUUGGAACAUCUUACUAGUUCACCAGGUGUGACAACCCUGACCUGGCAGACUUCUUUGUCUCCGAGAUACGUCUACCAUGAAUUUGAAUGCCUCUAUAAUUCUCCACGUGUCCACACUGACAUGGGAUGUCUCCCUAAUUACCCAGGUGUCUACAUUGAUCUUGAAUGCCUCUCUAAUUUCCUAGCAGUGUCUGCACUGACAUGGGAUUGCUCCCUAAUACUCCAGGUGUCUCUAAUGUGGGUUGCCUACUUCUCCGGGUGUGUUUACUCUGACGUGGGACAUCUCCCUAUUACGACAGAAGG